RNAcentral lists this ribosomal RNA (2042 nucleotides) under Salmonella enterica. RNAcentral's name for it is "bacterial LSU rRNA". It matches the Rfam family "Bacterial large subunit ribosomal RNA", at positions 911 to 2925 of the family's 2925-position model. Lineage: Bacteria; Pseudomonadati; Pseudomonadota; Gammaproteobacteria; Enterobacterales; Enterobacteriaceae. RNAcentral also lists the same sequence under 4 other names. The record is from RNAcentral.
UGUUUCGGCUAGGGGGCCAUCCCGGCUUACCAACCCGAUGCAAACUGCGAAUACCGGAGAAUGUUAUCACGGGAGACACACGGCGGGUGCUAACGUCCGUCGUGAAGAGGGAAACAACCCAGACCGCCAGCUAAGGUCCCAAAGUCAUGGUUAAGUGGGAAACGAUGUGGGAAGGCCCAGACAGCCAGGAUGUUGGCUUAGAAGCAGCCAUCAUUUAAAGAAAGCGUAAUAGCUCACUGGUCGAGUCGGCCUGCGCGGAAGAUGUAACGGGGCUAAACCAUGCACCGAAGCUGCGGCAGCGACGCUGAUGCGUUGUUGGGUAGGGGAGCGUUCUGUAAGCCUGCGAAGGUGGCCUGUGAGGGUUGCUGGAGGUAUCAGAAGUGCGAAUGCUGACAUAAGUAACGAUAAAGCGGGUGAAAAGCCCGCUCGCCGGAAGACCAAGGGUUCCUGUCCAACGUUAAUCGGGGCAGGGUGAGUCGACCCCUAAGGCGAGGCCGAAAGGCGUAGUCGAUGGGAAACGGGUUAAUAUUCCCGUACUUGGUGUUACUGCGAAGGGGGGACGGAGAAGGCUAUGUUGGCCGGGCGACGGUUGUCCCGGUUUAAGCGUGUAGGUGUGUGUUCCAGGUAAAUCCGGUUCACUUUAACACUGAGGCGUGAUGACGAGGCACUACGGUGCUGAAGCAACAAAUGCCCUGCUUCCAGGAAAAGCCUCUAAGCAUCAGGUAACAUCAAAUCGUACCCCAAACCGACACAGGUGGUCAGGUAGAGAAUACCAAGGCGCUUGAGAGAACUCGGGUGAAGGAACUAGGCAAAAUGGUGCCGUAACUUCGGGAGAAGGCACGCUGACACGUAGGUGAAGUGAUUUACUCAUGGAGCUGAAGUCAGUCGAAGAUACCAGCUGGCUGCAACUGUUUAUUAAAAACACAGCACUGUGCAAACACGAAAGUGGACGUAUACGGUGUGACGCCUGCCCGGUGCCGGAAGGUUAAUUGAUGGGGUCAGCGCAAGCGAAGCUCCUGAUCGAAGCCCCGGUAAACGGCGGCCGUAACUAUAACGGUCCUAAGGUAGCGAAAUUCCUUGUCGGGUAAGUUCCGACCUGCACGAAUGGCGUAAUGAUGGCCAGGCUGUCUCCACCCGAGACUCAGUGAAAUUGAACUCGCUGUGAAGAUGCAGUGUACCCGCGGCAAGACGGAAAGACCCCGUGAACCUUUACUAUAGCUUGACACUGAACAUUGAGCCUUGAUGUGUAGGAUAGGUGGGAGGCUUUGAAGUGUGGACGCCAGUCUGCAUGGAGCCGACCUUGAAAUACCACCCUUUAAUGUUUGAUGUUCUAACGUGGACCCGUGAUCCGGGUUGCGGACAGUGUCUGGUGGGUAGUUUGACUGGGGCGGUCUCCUCCUAAAGAGUAACGGAGGAGCACGAAGGUUGGCUAAUCCUGGUCGGACAUCAGGAGGUUAGUGCAAUGGCAUAAGCCAGCUUGACUGCGAGCGUGACGGCGCGAGCAGGUGCGAAAGCAGGUCAUAGUGAUCCGGUGGUUCUGAAUGGAAGGGCCAUCGCUCAACGGAUAAAAGGUACUCCGGGGAUAACAGGCUGAUACCGCCCAAGAGUUCAUAUCGACGGCGGUGUUUGGCACCUCGAUGUCGGCUCAUCACAUCCUGGGGCUGAAGUAGGUCCCAAGGGUAUGGCUGUUCGCCAUUUAAAGUGGUACGCGAGCUGGGUUUAGAACGUCGUGAGACAGUUCGGUCCCUAUCUGCCGUGGGCGCUGGAGAACUGAGGGGGGCUGCUCCUAGUACGAGAGGACCGGAGUGGACGCAUCACUGGUGUUCGGGUUGUCAUGCCAAUGGCACUGCCCGGUAGCUAAAUGCGGAAGAGAUAAGUGCUGAAAGCAUCUAAGCACGAAACUUGCCCCGAGAUGAGUUCUCCCUGAGACUUUAGGUCUCCUGAAGGAACGUUGAAGACGACGACGUUGAUAGGCCGGGUGUGUAAGCGCAGCGAUGCGUUGAGCUAACCGGUACUAAUGAACCGUGAGGCUUAACCUUACA